UAAGCCUCACCAUCAGGAUGCAGAACUCGGUCUGAUUCAGUGCCCCAUCUCCGUCAAGGUCACCUUCUCGAACCAUCCCUUCCGCUUCGUCUUUGCUCAUCCCUUCCAUGCCUAAAAGUGCAGAGUUUCUCCUCAGACUCUCUGGCGUUAUCAACCCUCUUUCCUGGUCAGCUAGAAGCCGAAACCCUCCAGAUAAUUCAGACACAAAAGCUUCCACGUCGAGCUUUUCUGCCAUCACAGGUAACAAAUCCUCGUACUGGCUUGUUGUUGUCGAAGGUGUUCCGUUAAUUCCCUUGUUUUCCAUUGUGUUGGGUUGCUGAAAGAAGCUUGUUCUGCUCUGGGGUCAAAAACAAAAACAAAAACAAAAUAGAGGGACAAGGAUAGCUUAAAGGUGCGCACUGUGGACUUCGCACCGAGGGAGCGAUUUAUAUAAGGACCAGCGCAUAGCCUUUAU
RNAcentral lists this long non-coding RNA (454 nucleotides) under Theobroma cacao (cacao). Its description in RNAcentral is "long non-coding RNA (TCAC_LNC000604)". Lineage: Eukaryota; Viridiplantae; Streptophyta; Magnoliopsida; Malvales; Malvaceae. The record is from RNAcentral.